Molecule: unclassified non-coding RNA, 2555 nt
Filed under: Homarus americanus (American lobster)
Lineage: Eukaryota; Metazoa; Arthropoda; Malacostraca; Decapoda; Nephropidae
Description: vasorin-like, transcript variant X2
Source: RNAcentral
AGAAUCCAAGACUCACAUCCUGUUUAUAAGAAAAGGAGUCAGUCUCAAGUACAGUAUACUGGACAGUAUUUCCCAGCUUCGAGUUGCUCUCAGUGUAAUUACAAAGUGCAUCGUCUCAGGAGCUCAACAUACAGUAAAUGAAUAUUUCUCCUAUACCCUGAAACACCUAACAGUCUGCAUAUAUCCAGCAACAGGCCAUGGAAGGUGUAGUGCUGGUGGUCUGUAGCCUCAUUGUGGCCAUGGCCUACUGCAACCCUGUUGAGUGUCCAGCCAAGUGUGAAUGUGACAGUCCAAGGAUCACAUGUGAGGGAGGAACAAUAUCCAUACUAGACAAGAGACUCACAGCCUUGGUGAUACAAGAUGCUGAUCCACCCAUCACUACACUCAACCAUGCCAUAACUCAGCAACUGGAACAUCUUGUGAAGCUACAGCUGGACUCGGUAGGCCUGACAGAGAUAGACCCCGGAGCACUGGCAACAAUACAACGCCUGGAGACUUUGGAGAUAACCAACAACCGCAUCGCUACGAUUGGACCCGCCACCUUCCGAAACUGUGGCAAAUUAAUUUACCUCAAUCUUGAAAAUAAUAAUAUUGAAGUAAUUGAGGAAGGGACAUUCACCUCGCUGGAUAACCUCCAUCACCUCAAUCUGUCUCACAAUGCCUUAACCACUCUGCCGAAAUAUUUACCCACCAGACUCCAGGUUCUUGACGUGGAGUAUAACCGGAUAAGUGAAGUCCAAGAUUUAUCCUCCGCUAGUAUGACAUCACUCAACCUGUGUCAUAAUGACAUCUCCCACAUUGACCCAGACCAGAUUGAGCUGAAGAAUCUCAAGUCGCUCUGCAUUGGAGGAAUAAAGUUUAAUCUGAGCGAUGAUCUGGUAAACCACAACAAGCUUCCAGUUCUUGAGAGUCUACAGCUAAAAGGAGAUCCAGAGAAUAAACUGAGAGUUACUAACAAGAUUCAGGAAAAUAUCCUCAACAUGACAACACAAUCACUCAAAAACCUGGAGCUGUCCUAUUGUGGACUAGCAAGUCCAAAGAUUUUCACCCAGGCCAACAGCAAACUCCAAAAUCUCAAAGCAACAGAUGUAAAACUGGUCCCGACAAGACUAAGCUUAUGGCCUAAGUUUGAACUUCCCAAAAUAGAAAUACUUGACUUGUCAGGAUCCCCUUAUCUGACAAAACUCUUCUUAACCUCAAAUGCACCAACAACCUUACCUGACCUUAAGAUUCUUAAAAUGUCCCACUGUUGGAUAAGGGACUUUCCCGAGUCUCAUUUUGAACAAAAAACACCAAACGUCAAACAGCUGGACAUAAGUCAUAACCCACUUGAGUGUACGUGCUAUGGAAUCUCUUGGAUCCCAAAUUACGUGAGAUACGGGAAGCUUAUUCUCCUCAACGAAGAGAACACAAUCUGUGCUAUCCCUAAACACCUCAAGGAUAUCCCACUGUUAACAGCUUCUCUCUGUCCCAUCAUUCCCACACCAGACACCACUAGUACCCCAGCGACCUACACUACGUCCCUGGUUACUUCAGUUGACACAACAGUUAUACCUGAAGAGUCACAUUCAUCAAGCCCUGGGAUGACUACAACCAACAAAGGAAACCUGCUGCUGGUUUCACCUGUGAUCAUAAUGAUUUCUUUCAUCACACUGUGCGUGUGCCUCAUUGUUUGACACUACAAGAAUAGCGCGUUCAACGUUAAAGAAAACAGCAGCAACACAGAAGAGGCCGGAAAAAACAAUGUUGCUACGGCUGAGAGCAAAGAUCAAACAUCAUUAACGCCAACUGACACACAGAAUGGUCAGCAUGACAACCUGUUAAAUGAGGGUUACACUGUAAGCCCCAGUGACCCUGAGGAGAAACUUUAGGCAGAUGCAGGUAAUAGAAAGGAACAAUACCAGUGUUGUAGCUUCUGUAGGCCCACCUGGGUAACUCAAGCCUUCCUCACCAAACUUAAUAUCUCACAGCUUGUGUUGCAGCAACAAGUAUUCUCAUAAUAUCUGCACCAAGGAACAUAAACUUUUGUUCAUCCGACUGCAUAAUUAGGCUCGUUGGGAUGCUAUCAUACAACAAUAACUGCAUUAGUGGCUUAUUGUAAUGUGUGUGUGUGUCACAGGCACUACACUUGGGCUACAGUACAGUACUGUAAGGUGAAUGUUCUGAGACAAUGCUGUACUGUACUGUAUUAAACUACACUACAACAGAGUCCAUAUUCAUCUUACUAAAAAUUAUCCAGAAAUCUUCUAGACUUACAGGCCAAAAACUUACGGAGAUUAUGACUAGUCUUGCCUGACAUGUACUGUACAGAGGCAGCUCAUGUGUCAUGCUGUAAACAGUGCUGAAGGGGACUGCCUCUCCGUACGUUUCAUUUUUGCUUUCGUUUAGUAUUUUAUGUUAGGUUUGCUUAGAUUAUGAUGGAUUAGGUUUGUACAAGUUAGGUGAGGGUGAGGUUAGGUUAGGUUAGAUAGCUUUGUUUGAUUAAUUUCCUUAACAAUAAACUAUAUAACAUAAUUAUCUGGUAAUUCUGAACACGUCGGACGUAAACAAAUGAA